Long non-coding RNA from Ipomoea nil (Japanese morning glory), 561 nucleotides. RefSeq lists it as uncharacterized. The record is from RefSeq and is a predicted model, not a curated record. Lineage: Eukaryota; Viridiplantae; Streptophyta; Magnoliopsida; Solanales; Convolvulaceae. The transcript has 3 exons.
CGUACAUCUGCCAUUCCGUAUUGUAUUGUUGACCGCUAAGCAGUCGCUAGAGAACAGCCAAUUCUAGAGAGAGACCGUACAAAAGCCUAGCCGGAAAAUGAGGCAGUUCGAUCCAUGGCCAGUGUUUUUCCGCCGGGAGUGGGGCCGGAACUGGCCGUUCCUAGUCGGCUUCGCCAUCACCGGCGCCGUCAUCACCAAGAUGUCCCUCGGCCUCACUGAGGAGGACGCUAAGAACUCUAAAUUCGCGCAGAGGCACAAAAAGUAAUUUUAAAGCUCAAAGCUCAUGCUGGAUAAGAGGCAUUUGCACCUGAGACAGCUGCACUUUUCUUUUUAAUUUCUUGUGUUUUCUUUUGUUUCUAAAUGAAUCAGACAAUACUGAUUUCAUAAAGCAUCCCCAUAGCUUUUGGUGGAAGCAAACUUUACGUUGGUCUAUUGAGAAAUUUGGAUACUGUUAAUUAGAAGAGUGUUUUCUCCCCCUUCUGUUCUGUCAUGAGCUUCUGAUUUGGCUCACCAGAUUUCUUCUUUCAAACGGAAAUAUUUAAAAUACUGAUUCCUGUUUAA